Molecule: long non-coding RNA, 2338 nt
Organism: Alosa alosa (allis shad)
Lineage: Eukaryota; Metazoa; Chordata; Actinopteri; Clupeiformes; Clupeidae
Exons: 3
Source: RefSeq, a predicted model, not a curated record
GGGAUGGUUGAGGGUGCAGGGGGUAACCUAUACUGGUGUGACGGUUAAAUAAUAUGAAAAAAAUUAAGCCAAGGGGAAACAAAGAUUUGACACCUUCAGUGGGAACUGCCGCUACGGAUUGUCUACUUUCAUCUUCAGAUGAACAUGAUUCUCUUUUUGCCCUUUCUUACCCAAGGAUUGAAUUGUCAAAGACCAGGAUUGUUCUCUUUUCAAAUUAUGAUUCUACUGGAUUUUACAAAGAGAACAGGAUGUGCAGGACCAUCUGACUGUGGGGCUCGGCGUUUGGGCCCCGGCCUCUCCUGCUGCUCUGUGCUGGUUCUCCAUGCCAGCGUCUGCUGUGAUCACUUGGAGGUUGCAACACCAUAGGCUAUUGGUUUCUCUAUAACAGCCAUUCUCUUUAUUUCAAGGUUCCCAACCAUUAGAAAUGGACCUAAACUGAUGUGAUUGAAUAGAACGAAAUUAUAUUAAGCGGUCAAAAGAAUUUUUGAUCCAAAAUCACAAGCCAAUUUGCAACAUUUUUAAGGAAACACACAAGAUCAAUAAAAGCAGACAUCAGGGGACAACAAAUGAUCGGUCUGUAGCUGAAAAGCAGGAUACAUUUAGAUCUGGAGGACAUUACCCCUGGAAGACUUUCCCUUGGCCUAGAAUGAGAAGACACACAAGGACAUUUCAAGUUGGACUUACAAACAGAAAUCUCCCUACAGGUGCAAUUCUGGUUUCUGAGAUCUGACUUUUAAUGGUCACGGCUACACUCUGGCCUACUGUAAAUCCACUCAGAUAGAUCCCACUCAUGAUAAGAGAGAGAACAAACCCUGUUACCCUACACUCAUACCAAAUGACACGGGACCCAAACAUCCUUCUAAAACAAUGAUGAAGUGAUUUAUGGUAUCCCUACUAUGCCAAGGGGAUACGCCACAAUAUCUAAAGGCGAUGCCAUAGUCUCCCUGUUCAUCUUUUACUUUGAUGUCCACUUCACCCUAAUGUUACAUUUGUGAUUGGAUUUAAUAAUACAAUGUAUGUUCAAAGUAGAGUUAGCUUCACAAAUGACAGCAUAUAUAGGCUUCAUUAACAGUACAUGUGGAUUUUGAUUAAUUUAUUCCAUGUAUUAGAUUCAUUUCUUUGGUUUGGUUCUGGGAAGGGGCAAGGGGACGUUUGCUAUUAGAUAGCUUCCUCGUAAAAAUAACCACUUCAGUCAGUCAUAACCUAGUGUGAGAAAUGAAGAUCUCCACCCUGUCAAAGUCUGUCAGCCUCAAUGCAUUCACACACACACACUAAACACACACACACACACACACGCACACAAACGCACAGACACACACACACACACACACACACAACUCAGCAGUCAAUUUGCUGGAAUCCCUGGAUACAGGCCGUCCUGCUUCACAGAUUAUUGUGCAUUAGUGUGCAAUCAUCUCCACCAAACUACACCAGCCCAGCCCAACUCAGCCCAGCUCAGAGCCCUGAGCAGCAGCCACACCACUGGGCUGGAGACCCAGAGUUUCUGGGAGUAUGAAGGCUAUUGGAUCAUGAGGGUUCACUCAUAUUAGGUUCCAUCAGCCUAAUCUGUCUGGCAGUCUGCCAGUAGGACACAGAUAUGGUGGGAGGCUCAAGAGACAACAAGGCAGUGUACUCACAUUUCAAGAUCUAUAUGGAAAAGUCCAGUUUCCACUGCCUAUCUGCUCUGUCUGUUACACUGACCAUACUGUUGGACAGUAUGUCCAGUUGAAAAGGGAUAGGAAAGAGGUGUCUUCUCUUACUCAGAUCUGGGUGCCAUUUUGGAGCGGAGGAUUCUAACUGACAGUGAGGGGAAAGGAGCGAUGCAAUUCCUUGACAUCUUGUUGAAAACCUCUCGUCAUUCUAUAGCUUAAAGUAGUUAAAUGUUGCUUGAACACCCCAACAACUAAAUAAGUGUUGGUCCUUGCCAUUAAAUAAUUUGGUAGUUACCUGGAGGGUGUAUGACCUCUUCAGGGCAGUAAUAACAAGUGAAGUUUGAACUUUUAUUUUGAAGUUUUUGUCUGGUGUUUUUGUCUCGUCAUUUAGAGUUUGUGUCAAUUAAGGGUGGUCUUGGCACAGCUGCAUUAAGGAAAGAAGAAAAUAUAAAAAAGAUCUAAAAGAUCUAGCUCACUUUGAACAAGAAGGUCUUUGUCUACAGUCCUAAUCCUCGUCGAGGUCUUAAGUCCAUGUUUGAAAUUCUUUCCUUUUGUUUUCUCAUCUGACGCAUGUUAUAUGUGAUACUGUGUUUAACCCGAUCAGUGUUUUCAAGUGGCAGCACCUCAGAGGGUGAGGUCUGACCAUGGUGCAGUAUGUGUAAUAAACAUUGCUGAUUCUGUCUCAA